This 497-nucleotide ribosomal RNA is filed under the name uncultured bacterium. Its description in RNAcentral is "partial 16S ribosomal RNA". It matches the Rfam family "Bacterial small subunit ribosomal RNA", at positions 28 to 507 of the family's 1533-position model. The record is from RNAcentral.
GACGAACGCUGGCGGCGUGCCUAAUACAUGCAAGUUGAGCGCUGAAGGUUGGUACUUGUACCAACUGGAUGAGCAGCGAACGGGUGAGUAACGCGUGGGGAAUCUGCCUUUGAGCGGGGGACAACAUUUGGAAACGAAUGCUAAUACCGCAUAAAAACUUUAAACACAAGUUUUAAGUUUGAAAGAUGCAAUUGCAUCACUCAAAGAUGAUCCCGCGUUGUAUUAGCUAGUUGGUGAGGUAAAGGCUCACCAAGGCGAUGAUACAUAGCCGACCUGAGAGGGUGAGCGGCCACAGUGGGACGGAGACACGGCCCAAACUCCUACGGGAGGCAGCAGUAGGGAAUCUUCGGCAAGGGACGAAAGUCUGACCGAGCAACGCCGCGGGAGUGAAGAAGGAUUUCGGAUCGUAAAACUCUGUUGGUAGAGAAGAACGUUGGUGAGAGUGGAAAGCUCAUCAAGUGACGGUAACUACCCAGAAAGGGACGGCUAACUACGUG